UAGGAAGUGGUGUAGUGGAAGCACUGAGGGUCUUGGUCUCUCUGGGGUGGGUUCAAGUCCCUCCUUCCUAA
RNAcentral lists this transfer RNA (71 nucleotides) under Eurypharynx pelecanoides (pelican eel). RNAcentral's name for it is "tRNA-Gln". It matches the Rfam family "tRNA". From Rfam's summary of the family: Transfer RNA (tRNA) molecules are approximately 80 nucleotides in length. Their secondary structure includes four short double-helical elements and three loops (D, anti-codon, and T loops). Further hydrogen bonds mediate the characteristic L-shaped molecular structure. tRNAs have two regions of fundamental functional importance: the anti-codon, which is responsible for specific mRNA codon recognition, and the 3' end, to which the tRNAs corresponding amino acid is attached (by aminoacyl-tRNA synthetases). tRNAs cope with the degeneracy of the genetic code in two manners: having more than one tRNA (with a specific anti-codon) for a particular amino acid; and 'wobble' base-pairing, i.e. permitting non-standard base-pairing at the 3rd anti-codon position. Lineage: Eukaryota; Metazoa; Chordata; Actinopteri; Anguilliformes; Eurypharyngidae. The record is from RNAcentral.